This 366-nucleotide unclassified non-coding RNA is filed under the name uncultured fungus. RNAcentral describes it as "sequence contains ITS1". The stretch from base 1 to 104 matches the Rfam family "5.8S ribosomal RNA", at positions 50 to 154 of the family's 154-position model. The record is from RNAcentral. Lineage: Eukaryota; Fungi.
GAAUCGCGAUAGGAAGUGCGAAUUGCAGAAUUCAGUGAAUCAUCGUAACUUUGAACGCAAUCUGCGCUCUGGGGGCGACCCAGAGCAUGCCUCUUUGAGUGUCGGUCAAACCCUCCCGGUCUCCGGGGAGCUGCGAGUCCGCGGGGUCUCGCCAAGUCGGGGAGCAGGGCUGCGGGCUGCGCGGGCGCGUCUGAAUGGAGCUGUAUAGUUGCAUGCGGACUCGCCGAGGCGGGCCAGUGGCUGCGUCCAGCUGUGCUGUCUGGCGUCUAUCUGUCUAGCGCGCAAGCGUUAGUAGCUAGCGCGACGGCGGCACGGCACACCAAGACCAACGACCUCAAAUGAGGUAGGACUACCCGCUGAACUUAA